Molecule: ribosomal RNA, 1522 nt
Filed under: metagenome
Description: bacterial SSU rRNA
Rfam family: Bacterial small subunit ribosomal RNA
Source: RNAcentral
AGAGUUUGAUCAUGGCUCAGAUUGAACGCUGGCGGCAGGCCUAACACAUGCAAGUCGAACGGUAACAGGAAACAGCUUGCUGUUUCGCUGACGAGUGGCGGACGGGUGAGUAAUGUCUGGGAAACUGCCUGAUGGAGGGGGAUAACUACUGGAAACGGUAGCUAAUACCGCAUAACGUCGCAAGACCAAAGAGGGGGACCUUCGGGCCUCUUGCCAUCAGAUGUGCCCAGAUGGGAUUAGCUAGUAGGUGGGGUAACGGCUCACCUAGGCGACGAUCCCUAGCUGGUCUGAGAGGAUGACCAGCCACACUGGAACUGAGACACGGUCCAGACUCCUACGGGAGGCAGUAGUGGGGAAUAUUGCACAAUGGGCGCAAGCCUGAUGCAGCCAUGCCGCGUGUAUGAAGAAGGCCUUCGGGUUGUAAAGUACUUUCAGCGGGGAGGAAGGGAGUAAAGUUAAUACCUUUGCUCAUUGACGUUACCCGCAGAAGAAGCACCGGCUAACUCCGUGCCAGCAGCCGCGGUAAUACGGAGGGUGCAAGCGUUAAUCGGAAUUACUGGGCGUAAAGCGCACGCAGGCGGUUUGUUAAGUCAGAUGUGAAAUCCCCGGGCUCAACCUGGGAACUGCAUCUGAUACUGGCAAGCUUGAGUCUCGUAGAGGGGGGUAGAAUUCCAGGUGUAGCGGUGAAAUGCGUAGAGAUCUGGAGGAAUACCGGUGGCGAAGGCGGCCCCCUGGACGAAGACUGACGCUCAGGUGCGAAAGCGUGGGGAGCAAACAGGAUUAGAUACCCUGGUAGUCCACGCCGUAAACGAUGUCGACUUGGAGGUUGUGCCCUUGAGGCGUGGCUUCCGGAGCUAACGCGUUAAGUCGACCGCCUGGGGAGUACGGCCGCAAGGUUAAAACUCAAAUGAAUUGACGGGGGCCCGCACAAGCGGUGGAGCAUGUGGUUUAAUUCGAUGCAACGCGAAGAACCUUACCUGGUCUUGACAUCCACGGAAGUUUUCAGAGAUGAGAAUGUGCCUUCGGGAACCGUGAGACAGGUGCUGCAUGGCUGUCGUCAGCUCGUGUUGUGAAAUGUUGGGUUAAGUCCCGCAACGAGCGCAACCCUUAUCCUUUGUUGCCAGCGGUCCGGCCGGGAACUCAAAGGAGACUGCCAGUGAUAAACUGGAGGAAGGUGGGGAUGACGUCAAGUCAUCAUGGCCCUUACGACCAGGGCUACACACGUGCUACAAUGGCGCAUACAAAGAGAAGCGACCUCGCGAGAGCAAGCGGACCUCAUAAAGUGCGUCGUAGUCCGGAUUGGAGUCUGCAACUCGACUCCAUGAAGUCGGAAUCGCUAGUAAUCGUGGAUCAGAAUGCCACGGUGAAUACGUUCCCGGGCCUUGUACACGCCGCCCGUCACACCAUGGGAGUGGGUUGCAAAAGAAGUAGGUAGCUUAACCUUCGGGAGGGCGCUUACCACUUUGUGAUUCAUGACUGGGGUGAAGUCGUAACAAGGUAACCGUAGGGGAACCUGCGGUUG